Molecule: ribosomal RNA, 584 nt
Filed under: Naganishia bhutanensis
Lineage: Eukaryota; Fungi; Basidiomycota; Tremellomycetes; Filobasidiales; Filobasidiaceae
Description: eukaryotic LSU rRNA
Rfam family: Eukaryotic large subunit ribosomal RNA
Source: RNAcentral
AAACUAACAAGGAUUCCCCUAGUAACGGCGAGUGAAGCGGGAAGAGCUCAAAUUUGAAAUCUGGCGGCAUCCUGUCGUCCGAGUUGUAAUCUAUAGAAGUGUUUUCCGCGACGGACCAUGUACAAGUCCCUUGGAACAGGGCGUCAUAGAGGGUGAGAAUCCCGUCCUUGACAUGAUCUCCGGUUGCUAAUGUGAUACACUUUCAACGAGUCGAGUUGUUUGGGAAUGCAGCUCAAAAUGGGUGGUGAAUUCCAUCUAAAGCUAAAUAUUGGCGAGAGACCGAUAGCGAACAAGUACCGUGAGGGAAAGAUGAAAAGCACUUUGGAAAGAGAGUUAAACAGUACGUGAAAUUGUUGAAAGGGAAACGAUUGAAGUCAGUCAUGCUCUUUGGGUUAAGCCGUUCGCGGUGUAUUCCAUUGAGUGGGGUCAACAUCAGUUUUGACCGCUGGAAAAAGGCACGAGGAAGGUAGCACUCUCGGGUGAACUUAUAGCCUCGCGUCAUAUACAGUGGUUGGGACUGAGGAACGCAGCAUGCCUUAUGGCCGGGAUUCGUCCACGUACAUGCUUAGGAUGUUGACAUAAUG